This 497-nucleotide ribosomal RNA is filed under the name uncultured bacterium. RNAcentral's name for it is "partial 16S ribosomal RNA". It matches the Rfam family "Bacterial small subunit ribosomal RNA", at positions 28 to 507 of the family's 1533-position model. The record is from RNAcentral.
GAUGAACGCUGGCGGCGUGCCUAAUACAUGCCAGUCGAGCGAACGGACGAGAAGCUUGCUUCUCUGAUGUUAGCGGCGGACGGGUGAGUAACACGUGGAUAACCUACCUAUAAGACUGGGAUAACUUCGGGAAACCGGCGCUAAUACCGGAUAAUAUUUUGAACCGCAUGGUUCAAAAGUGAAAGACGGUCUUUCUGUCACUUAUAGAUGGAUCCGCGCUGCAUUAGCUAGUUGGUAAGGUAACGGCUUACCAAGGCAACGAUGCAUAGCCGACCUGAGAGGGUGAUCGGCCACACUGGAACUGAGACACGGUCCAGACUCCUACGGGAGGCAGCAGUAGGGAAUCUUCCGCAAUGGGCGAAAGCCUGACGGAGCAACGCCGCGUGAGUGAUGAAGGUCUUCGGAUCGUAAAACUCUGUUAUUAGGGAAGAACAUAUGUGUAAGUAACUGUGCACAUCUUGACGGUACCUAAUCAGAAAGCCACGGCUAACUACGUG